Cavia aperea (Brazilian guinea pig) is the source of this 105-nucleotide small nuclear RNA. The record is from Ensembl. Lineage: Eukaryota; Metazoa; Chordata; Mammalia; Rodentia; Caviidae.
GUGCUCACAGCACCAGCACACAUACUGAGGUUGGAACGAUGCAGAAAAAGUAGCAUGGCUCUGGGUAAGGAUGACAUGCAAACUUGUGAAGUGUCCCAUAUUUUU